GCAUCGGUGGCUUAGUGGUAGAAUGCUCGCCUGCCACGCGGGCUGCCCGGGUUCGAUUCCCGGCCGAUGCA
RNAcentral lists this transfer RNA (71 nucleotides) under Cordylochernes scorpioides. Its description in RNAcentral is "tRNA-Gly". It matches the Rfam family "tRNA". Rfam says of the family: Transfer RNA (tRNA) molecules are approximately 80 nucleotides in length. The record is from RNAcentral. Lineage: Eukaryota; Metazoa; Arthropoda; Arachnida; Pseudoscorpiones; Chernetidae.